CCAGGUCAGCUGAGCGGCUGGGACCGCCCUGGCCCCGAGGCUGCGCGGGCUGGCGGUCAGCGCCCAGCUCUGGUGGCUGGACAGAAUCGGGUCCCGGUCUGGUACCUCUGCAGGCUGGGCAAUUCUCAGCGCUUGUUCCUGCUGCUCCGAUGUCUGAACAGGAGGCGAGAACUGUGCAGGGACACAAACAAGGCAUGACUUGGAUUGCUUCACCUUGAAAUCAGAGAGCUUUGAGAAAAUCAAUCCCCUAAUAAGUAUUCUGCCUAAAGUUUGGAUUGGCACAGUACUGUGCUCACCCUUCUUGUGAUAGAAGAGGAUAAAAUGCCUGCGUGAUGGGAUUAACUGAGGUAAAUGUGACAUACUUAGGCUACUAUUGACCUCCUGACGAUGUAACAGGAUGAUCUGCUUCUGGACCACAGUUGACGAGGAACUAAGACUGUGGGUAAGGAAGAACUACUUUUCUAUAGUAUAUUGUAGUUUUUUUUUUUUUUUUUACUUUUGGCGUUAAAAAUAUAGCAAGAAAUAUUUUUGGUAAAGUCCACCGUUUAGACUUUAAAUAUUUGGCCACCUAACAAUGUGCCUGGCAGUCAUCACUAGAUUGAGGAAUAUAGCAGAACAAAAACAGACAAAAUCUCUAACAGAGCUUACAUUCUGGGAUAGGGUUGAAGAAACAAUAAAUAUUACAUGCAAGUUGUAUAAUAUUGAAUAGGCCAUGGCACACUCUACA
Molecule: long non-coding RNA, 727 nt
Organism: Callorhinus ursinus (northern fur seal)
Lineage: Eukaryota; Metazoa; Chordata; Mammalia; Carnivora; Otariidae
Source: RefSeq, a predicted model, not a curated record